GGUUUGAUUAUGGCUCAGAUUCGAACACUGGCGGGAUGCUUCUACACAUGCAAGUCGAACGGCAGCACGGACUUCGGUCUGGUGGCGAGUGGCGAACGGGUGAGUAAUGUAUCAGACGUGCCUAGUAGCCCGAGGAUAACUACGCGAAAGCGUAGCUAAUACCGCAUACGCCCUUCGAGAAAGCAGGACAACCGGGCCUCACGCACUAUUAGAGCAGCCGAUAUCGGAUUAGCUAGUUGGUGGGAGAUGUGGCUCACCAAGGCGACGAUCCGUAGCUGGUUUGAGAGGACGACCAGCCACACCAGGACUGAGAUUACGGCCCAGACUCUACGGGAGGCAGCAGUGGGGGUACGGACAAUGGAAACCUGAUCCAGCCAUCCGCGUGUGCGAUGAAGGCCUUCGGGUUGUAAAGCACUUUUGGCAGGAAAGAAACGGCACGGGAUAAUACCCGUGCAACUGACGGUACCUGCAGAACCAAGCACCAGCUAACUACACGAUGCCAGCAGCCGCGGUAAUACGUAGGGUGCAAGCGUUAAUCGGGAUUACUGGGCGUAAAGCGUGCGCAGGCGGUUCGGAAGAAAGAUGUAGAAAUCCCAGAGCUUAACUUUGGAACUGCACGUUUUUUUAACUACCGAGCUAGAGUGUGUCAGGAAGUGGAAUUCCGCGUGUAGCAGUGAAAUGCGUAGAUAUGCGGAGGAACACCGAUAGCGAAAGGCAGCCUCCUGGGAUAACACUGACGCUCAUGCACAGCGUGGGAGCAAACAGGAUUAGAUACCCUGGUAGUCCACCGCCUAAACGAUGUCAACUAGCUGUUGGAACCUUCCGGGCCUUGGUAGCGCAGCUAACGCGUGAAGUUGACCGCCUGGGAAGUACGGUCGCAAGAUUAAAACUCCGAGAAUUGACGGGGACCACCCGGCAGUGGAUGAUGUGGAUUAAUUCGAUGCAACGCGAAAAACCUUACCUACCCUUGACAUGUCUGGAAUCCCGAAGAGAUUUGGGAGUGCUCGCAGAACCGGAACACAGGUGCUGCAUGGCUGUCGUCAGCUCGUGUCGUGAGAUGUUGGGUUAAGUCCCGCAACGAGCGCAACCCUUGUCGACAGUUGCUACGAGGCACUCUAAUGAGACUGCCGGUGACAAACCGGAGGAAGGUGGGGAUGACGUAAGUCCUCAUGGCCCUUAUGGGUAGGGCUUCACACGUCAUACAAUGGUCGGAACAGAGGGUCGCCAACCCGCAGGGAGGGGCCAAUCCCGAAACCCGAUCGUAGUCCGGAUCACCGUGAUCUGCUCGACUGCGUGAAGUCGGAAUCGCUAAGUAAUCGCGGAUCAGCAUGUCGCGGUGAAUACGGUCCCGGGUCUUGUACACCACCCGUCACACCAUGGGAGUGGGUUUUCGGAAGUGGUUAGCUAACCGCGUAAGGAGGGCGAUUACCACGGUAGGAUUCAUGACUGGGGUGAAGUCGUAACAAGGUAG
RNAcentral lists this ribosomal RNA (1471 nucleotides) under uncultured Bordetella sp. RNAcentral describes it as "partial 16S-23S ribosomal RNA intergenic spacer". It matches the Rfam family "Bacterial small subunit ribosomal RNA". Lineage: Bacteria; Pseudomonadati; Pseudomonadota; Betaproteobacteria; Burkholderiales; Alcaligenaceae. The record is from RNAcentral.